RNAcentral lists this ribosomal RNA (498 nucleotides) under uncultured bacterium. RNAcentral's name for it is "bacterial SSU rRNA". It matches the Rfam family "Bacterial small subunit ribosomal RNA", at positions 34 to 528 of the family's 1533-position model. The record is from RNAcentral.
CGCUGGCGGCGUGCCUAACACAUGCAAGUCGAGCGAGAAAGCUCCUUCGGGAGUUAGUAAAGCGGCGAACGGGUGAGCAACACGUGAGAAUCUACCCUUUAGUGAAGAAUACCCUCGAGAAAUCGAGGCUAAUACUGCAUACGUCCCUUCGGGGAGAAAGAUGGCCUCUUUGCUAUCGCUAAAGGAUGAGCUUGCGUACUAUUAGCUAGUUGGCGGGGUAAAGGCCCACCAAGGCAAUGAUGGUUAACCGGCCUGAGAGGGUGUACGGUCACACUGGAACUUAGACACGGUCCAGACUCCUACGGGAGGCAGCAGUGAGGAAUCUUGCGCAAUGGGCGAAAGCCUGACGCAGCGACGCCGCGUGGAGGAUGACGGUUUUCGGAUUGUAAACUCCUGUUAAGCGGGAAGAAAGCCUUGUUUUCUAAUACAAGCAAGGUAUGACGGUACCGCUAGAGAAAGCACCGGCUAACUUCGUGCCAGCAGCCGCGGUAAUGUCGU